CUGGGUCAUACCAACCCGCCCUCUGUCAUUUGGCUGGCUGCUUCGGCGGUCUAUCAAACUUCGGUCGUGGUGUUCUGCCACGGCCGGCAUUAACUCUGUCAUUCUUGAUGUCUGAGAAGAAUCUGAAUAAA
This 131-nucleotide unclassified non-coding RNA is filed under the name uncultured fungus. RNAcentral's name for it is "sequence contains ITS1". The record is from RNAcentral. Lineage: Eukaryota; Fungi.